Molecule: ribosomal RNA, 253 nt
Filed under: uncultured bacterium
Lineage: Bacteria
Description: partial 16S ribosomal RNA
Rfam family: Bacterial small subunit ribosomal RNA
Source: RNAcentral
UACGUAGGGGGCGAGCGUUGUCCGGAGUUACUGGGCGUAAAGCGCACGCAGGCGGUCUGUUAAGUUUGGAGUGACAGUUGGUGGCUUAACUGCCAAAGUGCUUCGAAAACUGACAGACUUGAGGGCUUCAGAGGGACACGGAAUUCCGGGUGGAGUGGUGAAAUGCGUAGAGAUCCGGAGGAACACCAAAGGCGAAGGCAGUGUCCUGGGGAGUACCCGACGCUCAGGUGCGAAAGCCAGGGGAGCGAACGGG